This 464-nucleotide ribosomal RNA is filed under the name uncultured bacterium. RNAcentral's name for it is "partial 16S ribosomal RNA". It matches the Rfam family "Bacterial small subunit ribosomal RNA", at positions 29 to 507 of the family's 1533-position model. The record is from RNAcentral.
ACGAACGCUGGCUGCGUGCUUAACACAUUCAAGUCGCACGGAAAGGCCCUGCUUGCCGGGUACUCGAGUGGCGAACGGGUGAGUAACACGUGGGUGAUCUGCCCUGCACUUCGGGAUAAGCCUGGGAAACUGGGUCUAAUACCGGAUAGGAGCCAUUUUUAGUGUGAUGGUUGGAAAGUUUUUUCGGUGUAGGAUGAGCUCGCGGCCUAUCAGCUUGUUGGUGGGGUAAUGGCCUACCAAGGCGGCGACGGGUAGCCGGCCUGGGAGGGUGGACGGCCACAUUGGGACUGAGGUACGGCCCAGACUCCUACGGGAGGCAGCAGUGGGGAAUAUUGCACAAUGGGCGCAAGCCUGAUGCAGCGACGCCGCGUGGGGGAUGACGGCCUUCGGGUUGUAAACUCCUUUCGCUAGGGACGAAGCUUUUUGUGACGGUACCUAGAUAAGAAGCACCGGCCAACUACGUG